CGGACGGGUGAGUAACGCGUGAGAAUCUGCCCUCAGGAGGGGGAUAACGGCUGGAAACGGCCGCUAAUACCCCAUAUGCCGAGAGGUGAAAUGAAUUUCGCCUGAGGAUGAGCUCGCGUCUGAUUAGCUAGUUGGUGGGGUAAGAGCCUACCAAGGCAUCGAUCAGUAGCUGGUCUGAGAGGAUGAUCAGCCACACUGGGACUGAGACACGGCCCAGACUCCUACGGGAGGCAGCAGUGGGGAAUUUUCCGCAAUGGGCGCAAGCCUGACGGAGCAACGCCGCGUGAGGGAUGAAGGCCUCUGGGCUGUAAACCUCUUUUGUCAAGGAAGAAGAUCUGACGGUACUUGAUGAAUAAGCCACGGCUAAUUCCGUGCCAGCAGCCGCGGUAAUACGGGAGUGGCAAGCGUUAUCCGGAAUUAUUGGGCGUAAAGCGUCCGCAGGCGGUCUUGUAAGUCUGUCGUUAAAGCGUGGAGCUUAACUCCAUUUCAGCGAUGGAAACUGUAAGACUAGAGUGUGGUAGGGGCAGAGGGAAUUCCCGGUGUAGCGGUGAAAUGCGCAGAUAUCGGGAAGAACACCAGUGGCGAAGGCGCUCUGCUGGGCCAUAACUGACGCUCAUGGACGAAAGCCAGGGGAGCGAAAGGGAUUAGAUACCCCUGUAGUC
This 662-nucleotide ribosomal RNA is filed under the name uncultured Cyanobacterium sp. RNAcentral describes it as "bacterial SSU rRNA". It matches the Rfam family "Bacterial small subunit ribosomal RNA", at positions 99 to 795 of the family's 1533-position model. The record is from RNAcentral. Lineage: Bacteria; Bacillati; Cyanobacteriota; Cyanophyceae; Chroococcales; Geminocystaceae.